UGACGUUGAUUAUGCUAUAGCUGCCUAAGAGCAGUGACAAGCACAGUCGUCCUAGCUGGUAACGGCUAGCGAUUAUUAUCGGGUGAAUUGCUGGAAACCCCUUAGAGCUUUUCUUACCACAACGUAGUUGGAAACAACAAGCGUGAUGGUUUGAAAAAAGAAAAGAUAUGGGCAAUCAGCAGCCAAGCUCCUGUCUCGAAAGAGUGGAGAAGGUUCAACGACUAGGAUAAACCAUCUAAGGCGAAAGCUAUGAUGAUGAAAUCCAUAGGUGAAACAAUGGUCAUCAGCAUUGUGAAUCCGAAGUGCCCGACCCCUACUAGAUUGCUAGAGGGUGAAGAUAUAGUCUAGUCAUUUAUGAAAAUAAAUG
Molecule: intron RNA, 367 nt
Organism: Bacillus sp. FJAT-18017
Lineage: Bacteria; Bacillati; Bacillota; Bacilli; Caryophanales; Bacillaceae
Rfam family: Group I catalytic intron
About the family: Group I catalytic introns are large self-splicing ribozymes. They catalyse their own excision from mRNA, tRNA and rRNA precursors in a wide range of organisms.
Source: Rfam